Molecule: ribosomal RNA, 1460 nt
Filed under: metagenome
Description: bacterial SSU rRNA
Rfam family: Bacterial small subunit ribosomal RNA
Source: RNAcentral
UAACAGGAAGCAGCUUGCUGCUUCGCUGACGAGUGGCGGACGGGUGAGUAAUGUCUGGGAAGCUGCCUGAUGGAGGGGGAUAACUACUGGAAACGGUAGCUAAUACCGCAUAAUGUCGCAAGACCAAAGAGGGGGACCUUCGGGCCUCUUGCCAUCGGAUGUGCCCAGAUGGGAUUAGCUUGUUGGUGGGGUAACGGCUCACCAAGGCGACGAUCCCUAGCUGGUCUGAGAGGAUGACCAGCCACACUGGAACUGAGACACGGUCCAGACUCCUACGGGAGGCAGCAGUGGGGAAUAUUGCACAAUGGGCGCAAGCCUGAUGCAGCCAUGCCGCGUGUAUGAAGAAGGCCUUCGGGUUGUAAAGUACUUUCAGCGGGGAGGAAGGGAGUAAAGUUAAUACCUUUGCUCAUUGACGUUACCCGCAGAAGAAGCACCGGCUAACUCCGUGCCAGCAGCCGCGGUAAUACGGAGGGUGCAAGCGUUAAUCGGAAUUACUGGGCGUAAAGCGCACGCAGGCGGUUUGUUAAGUCAGAUGUGAAAUCCCCGGGCUCAACCUGGGAACUGCAUCUGAUACUGGCAAGCUUGAGUCUCGUAGAGGGGGGUAGAAUUCCAGGUGUAGCGGUGAAAUGCGUAGAGAUCUGGAGGAAUACCGGUGGCGAAGGCGGCCCCCUGGACGAAGACUGACGCUCAGGUGCGAAAGCGUGGGGAGCAAACAGGAUUAGAUACCCUGGUAGUCCACGCCGUAAACGAUGUCGACUUGGAGGUUGUGCCCUUGAGGCGUGGCUUCCGGAGCUAACGCGUUAAGUCGACCGCCUGGGGAGUACGGCCGCAAGGUUAAAACUCAAAUGAAUUGACGGGGGCCCGCACAAGCGGUGGAGCAUGUGGUUUAAUUCGAUGCAACGCGAAGAACCUUACCUGGUCUUGACAUCCACGGAAGUUUUCAGAGAUGAGAAUGUGCCUUCGGGAACCGUGAGACAGGUGCUGCAUGGUUGUCGUCAGCUCGUGUUGUGAAAUGUUGGGUUAAGUCCCGCAACGAGCGCAACCCUUAUCCUUUGUUGCCAGCGGUCCGGCCGGGAACUCAAAGGAGACUGCCAGUGAUAAACUGGAGGAAGGUGGGGAUGACGUCAAGUCAUCAAGGCCCUUACGACCAGGGCUACACACGUGCUACAAUGGCGCAUACAAAGAGAAGCGACCUCGCGAGAGCAAGCGGACCUCAUAAAGUGCGUCGUAGUCCGGAUUGGAGUCUGCAACUCGACUCCAUGAAGUCGGAAUCGCUAGUAAUCGUGGAUCAGAAUGCCACGGUGAAUACGUUCCCGGGCCUUGUACACACCGCCCGUCACACCAUGGGAGUGGGUUGCAAAAGAAGUAGGUAGCUUAACCUUCGGGAGGGCGCUUACCACUUUGUGAUUCAUGACUGGGGUGAAGUCGGAACAAGGUAACCGUAGGGGAACCUGCGGUUG